GAAGAAGGGUUUCGGCUCGUAAAACUCUGUUGUUAAAGAAGAACAUAUCUGAGAGUAACUGUUCAGGUAUUGACGGUAUUUAACCAGAAAGCCACGGCUAACUACGUGCCAGCAGCCGCGGUAAUACGUAGGUGGCAAGCGUUGUCCGGAUUUAUUGGGCGUAAAGCGAGCGCAGGCGGUUUUUUAAGUCUGAUGUGAAAGCCUUCGGCUCAACCGAAGAAGUGCAUCGGAAACUGGGAAACUUGAGUGCAGAAGAGGACAGUGGAACUCCAUGUGUAGCGGUGAAAUGCGUAGAUAUAUGGAAGAACACCAGUGGCGAAGGCGGCUGUCUGGUCUGUAACUGACGCUGAGGCUCGAAAGUAUGGGUAGCAAACAGGAUUAGAUACCCUGGUAGUCCAUACCGUAAACGAUGAAUGCUAAGUGUUGGAGGGUUUCCGCCCUUCAGUGCUGCAGCUAACGCAUUAAGCAUUCCGCCUGGGGAGUACGGCCGCAAGGCUGAAACUCAAAGGAAUUGACGGGGGCCCGCACAAGCGGUGGAGCAUGUGGUUUAAUUCGAAGCUACGCGAAGAACCUUACCAGGUCUUGACAUACUAUGCAAAUCUAAGAGAUUAGACGUUCCCUUCGGGGACAUGGAUACAGGUGGUGCAUGGUUGUCGUCAGCUCGUGUCGUGAGAUGUUGGGUUAAGUCCCGCAACGAGCGCAACCCUUAUUAUCAGUUGCCAGCAUUAAGUUGGGCACUCUGGUGAGACUGCCGGUGACAAACCGGAGGAAGGUGGGGAUGACGUCAAAUCAUCAUGCCCCUUAUGACCUGGGCUACACACGUGCUACAAUGGAUGGUACAACGAGUUGCGAACUCGCGAGAGUAAGCUAAUCUCUUAAAGCCAUUCUCAGUUCGGAUUGUAGGCUGCAACUCGCCUACAUGAAGUCGGAAUCGCUAG
This 938-nucleotide ribosomal RNA is filed under the name Lactiplantibacillus plantarum. Its description in RNAcentral is "bacterial SSU rRNA". It matches the Rfam family "Bacterial small subunit ribosomal RNA", at positions 407 to 1338 of the family's 1533-position model. Lineage: Bacteria; Bacillati; Bacillota; Bacilli; Lactobacillales; Lactobacillaceae. The record is from RNAcentral.